UACGGAGGGUGCAAGCGUUGUUCGGAAUUAUUGGGCGUAAAGCGCGUGUAGGCGGUUGCCUAAGUCUGAUGUGAAAUCCCGGGGCUUAACUCCGGAAGUGCAUCGGAUACUGGGCGACUAGAGGGCGAGAGAGGAUAGUGGAAUUCCUGGUGUAGGGGUGAAAUCCGUAGAUAUCAGGAGGAACAUCAGUGGCGAAGGCGGCUAUCUGGCUCGUUUCUGACGCUGAGACGCGAAAGCGUGGGGAGCAAACAGG
This 253-nucleotide ribosomal RNA is filed under the name uncultured bacterium. RNAcentral describes it as "partial 16S ribosomal RNA". It matches the Rfam family "Bacterial small subunit ribosomal RNA", at positions 524 to 776 of the family's 1533-position model. The record is from RNAcentral.